GCACUUGACAAAACAUUACAGGACUUACAGAUUGACUAUGUUGAUCUUUAUCUGAUACAUUGGCCAGUUAGCUUGAAGAAGGAAUCGACUAAGCCAACACCUGAGAUGCUCACUAA
This is a non-coding RNA of Camelina sativa (false flax), 116 nucleotides long. Lineage: Eukaryota; Viridiplantae; Streptophyta; Magnoliopsida; Brassicales; Brassicaceae. The record is from RefSeq and is a predicted model, not a curated record.